UGGGGAAUAUUAGGCAAUGGGCGAAAGCCUGACCUAGCAACGCCGCGUGAGGGAAGAAGGUCUUCGGAUUGUAAACCUCUGUCGCAGGGGACGAAGAAAGUGACGGUACCCUGUGAGGAAGCCCCGGCUAACUACGUGCCAGCAGCCGCGGUAAUACGUAGGGGGCGAGCGUUGUCCGGAAUUACUGGGCGUAAAGGGUGCGUAGGCGGCGCUUUAAGUUGGAUGUGAAAUCCCCGAGCUUAACUUGGGGUCUGCAUCCAAUACUGGGGCGCUAGAGUGCAGGAGGGGUAAGCGGAAUUCUCAGUGUAGCGGUGAAAUGCGUAGAUAUUGGGAAGAACACCGGUGGCGAAGGCGGCUUACUGGACUGUAACUGACGCUGAUGCACGAAAGCGUGGGGAGCAAACAGG
Molecule: ribosomal RNA, 407 nt
Filed under: uncultured bacterium
Lineage: Bacteria
Description: bacterial SSU rRNA
Rfam family: Bacterial small subunit ribosomal RNA
Source: RNAcentral